GCCAUUUUUGGUAAGCAGAACUGGCGCUGUGGGAUGAACCAAACGCGGUGUUAAGGUGCCAAACUUCCCGCUCAUGAGACCCCAUAAAAGGUGUUGGUUGAUAUAGACAGCAGGACGGUGGCCAUGGAAGUCGGAAACCGCUAAGGAAUGUGUAACAACUCACCUGCCGAAUCAACUAGCCCUGAAAAUGGAUGGCGCUUGAGCGGGAGACCUAUACUCCGCCGUUAGUGACUUGAGCGCUGAAAGGCGUCGCCUGGUCCUAACGAGUAGGUGGGUCGUAACAGUGGCGUUGAAGGCUUUGGGUGUGGACCCAGCUGGAGCCGCUGUUAGUGCAGAUCUUGGUGGUAGUAGCAAAUAUUCAAGUGAGAUCCUUGAAGACUGAAGUGGAGAAGGGUUCCACGUGAACAGCAGUUGGAUGUGGCUCAGUCGGUCCUAAGCCAACGGCUAAUGCCGUCAAACAUUGAGGGAGGAAUGGUCAAACAUUCCGCUCGAUUGGCGAAAGGGAAGCAGGUUAAUAUUCCUGCACCAGGUACACGGAGAUGGCUGGAUCGCUUCACGGCGGUUCAGUUAAGCGCGGUAACGCAAAUGAACAUGUCAACCUUGGCCAGGGUCCGAGUCAGAGUUCUCUUUUCUGAUUUAGACGUCGAAUCCGUGGAAACGGUAUUAGCCGGAGAUACGGAUGAUGGCGUCGUAAAGCACCGCGGUUCCUGUGGUGUCUCGUGCGCUCUGGUCGAGCCUUGAAAAGGCAUGGGAAGCUUAGUAAAUUUCGUGCCUGGCCGUACCGAUAUCCGCAGCAGGUCUCCAAGGUGAACAGCCUCUAGUCGAUAGAAUAAUGUAGGUAAGGGAAGUCGGCAAAUUAGAUCCGUAACUUCGGGAAAAGGAUUGGCUCUAAAGGUUGGGCUGGUCGGGCUUUGGUGUGAAGCGCGGAGGUUCGGCGCGUGGCUGCACGAGGCUUCGGCCGAGUGCGGACUAGUCGUUGGACUACUGCGUGGAGCGCCUUAGCUGCGUGCGUAGUUUCGGCUGCGUACUUCGGCCAGCGUGAAACAACCCACUUAGAACUGGCACGGACUCGGGGAAUCCGACUGUCUAAUUAAAACAGAGGAGAUGGAUGGUCCUUGUGGACGUUGACCAUCUCUGAUUUCUGCCCAGUGCUCUGAAUGUUAAUUUAAGGAAACUUAAUUAAGCGCGGGUAAACGGCGGGAGUAACUAUGACUCUCUUAAGGUAGCCAAAUGCCUCGCCAUCUAAUUAGUGGCGCGCAUGAAUGGAUUAACGAGAUUCCCACUGUCCCUAUCUACUAUCUAGCGAAACCACAGCCAAGGGAACGGGCUUGGCAAAAACAGCGGGGAAAGAAGACCCUGUUGAGCUUGACUCUAGUCUGACUCUGUGAAGAAUCAUGAGAGGUGUAGCAUAAGUGGGAGGUUUCGGCCGACAGUGAAAUACCACUACUUUCAUCGAUUCCUUACUUAUUCGGUAAAACGGGAAUUGGCUUUUAACGAGCCUUGAUUUUGGUGUUAAGGUUGGACACUCGGUGUCUGAUCGACCCGCGCCGACGACCGUGUCAGGCGGGGAGUUUGACUGGGGCGGUACAUCUGUCAAAUCGUAACGCAGGUGUCCUAAGGCUAGCUCAGAGAGGACAGAAACCUCUCGUAGAGUAAAAGGGCAAAAGCUUGCUUGAUCUUGAUUUUCAGUACGAAUACAGACCGCGAAAGCGUGGCCUAUCGAUCCUUUUGAUUAAUAAAGUUUCUUGCAAGAGGUGUCAGAAAAGUUACCACAGGGAUAACUGGCUUGUGGCAGCCAAGCGUCCAUAGCGACGUUGCUUUUUGAUCCUUCGAUGUCGGCUCUUCCUAUCAUUGCGAAGA
Molecule: ribosomal RNA, 1860 nt
Filed under: Macrolaimus sp. SAN-2005
Lineage: Eukaryota; Metazoa; Nematoda; Chromadorea; Rhabditida; Chambersiellidae
Description: eukaryotic LSU rRNA
Rfam family: Eukaryotic large subunit ribosomal RNA
Source: RNAcentral